Molecule: long non-coding RNA, 1031 nt
Organism: Gasterosteus aculeatus aculeatus (three-spined stickleback)
Lineage: Eukaryota; Metazoa; Chordata; Actinopteri; Perciformes; Gasterosteidae
Source: Ensembl
AUUGUGUCAGAGCACAAUACCAGGACUAAGUGCACUGAAUGCAAAUUAAUCUUGUGGGAUGGCAGCAGCUCAAUAGAGUGCGGUUUUGGGGGAAAGCAGGGGAGCAAAGGGAGGGACAGAAGGAGGGCUAAUAGCGGCGACAGAGAGGAGAAGGAGAGAAAAGAGCAUGUGAGGAGGAGGAGGAGGAGGAGGAGGAGGGCUGUGGGAUGUAGUCAUCGCCGGGCCCAUUCAUCAUGCAAUGCCUGCUGGGAUGCGCUGGGGUCAGUCCUGCACAACACAAUUACAGCCUGUUCUGGUGUGCUGUGUUCCGACUGUUCUCUUGUCUUCUGUUGGGUUCCCUCUGUUCUACCUUCUCCGGCUUUCUCUUUCUUUCCUUACACAUUUCCGAAGUCGCCGCUCGAGCUUUCCCCAAACGAAUUGCGGCAGUUCUUUUGAGCAAAAUGUCUCAAUUAGCUGAACAUUUUUUUUCUUUCUUUUUCUUUGAGUGUUGAACUCUCUCUUUUUUGUCUUUUGCAGUUCAUUGCCACAAGUUUCACGCUGCUCAUGUGAUGCAGCCUCAUUCCGCGGCGUUGUGUCAUCCACUGCGCAGCCGUGUUCUUUCAUCGGCGUCCGAGUCGCUUGGUUCUUGUGAUCGACAGGCCGGGUUAGCAUGGGCGAGUGCGAUUCUGAGGGAAAGCUGUUUGUAGUCCCGACUGAUGGGGGGCGCCCCGGGCCACCGGCGUGCGAUGAAACAGAAGGCUGAGCUUCAAAACCUUGCUGCUGGAUAAUCGAGAGCAAUGAAUUAGUGUAAUGUCUUCUCACGUGACCUAAAAGCCAUCUUUUGCUGCUCGGGGAGGGGGGGGCGGCUCUAAGGUGGAGCUCGAAAAACGAUGCCGACCGCUCCGGUCUGAAGAAUCCAAGAAUAUAUUAAGAUUAUGUUGUGUGCAGUCACGGUGUAUUAUGCCGAGUCAUAAUGUUUACUUUCCUUUUUUCCUUCCCAAAUCCACAUCCAUCGCCAAUGACACCCACAGCGCUCACGCCCCGUAUCCGCC